CGAUCGGUAGCCGGACUGAGAGGUUGAACGGCCACAUUGGGACUGAGACACGGCCCAGACUCCUACGGGAGGCAGCAGUGGGGAAUAUUGCACAAUGGGGGAAACCCUGAUGCAGCGACGCCGCGUGGAGGAAGAAGGUCUUCGGAUUGUAAACUCCUGUUGUUGAGGAAGAUAAUGACGGUACUCAACAAGGAAGUGACGGCUAACUACGUGCCAGCAGCCGCGGUAAAACGUAGGUCACAAGCGUUGUCCGGAAUUACUGGGUGUAAAGGGAGCGCAGGCGGGAAGACAAGUUGGAAGUGAAAUCCAUGGGCUUAACCCAUGAACUGCUUUCAAAACUGUUUUUCUUGAGUAGUGCAGAGGUAGGCGGAAUUCCCGGUGUAGCGGUGGAAUGCGUAGAUAUCGGGAGGAACACCAGUGGCGAAGGCGGCCUACUGGGCACCAACUGACGCUGAGGCUCGAAAGUGUGGGUAGCAAACAGGAUUAGAUACCCUGGUAGUCCACACCGUAAACGAUGAUUACUAGGUGUUGGAGGAUUGACCCCUUCAGUGCCGCAGUUAACACAAUAAGUAAUCCACCUGGGGAGUACGACCGCAAGGUUGAAACUCAAAGGAAUUGACGGGGGCCCGCACAAGCAGUGGAGUAUGUGGUUUAAUUCGACGCAACGCGAAGAACCUUACCAAGUCUUGACAUCCUGUGACAGACGUAGAAAUACGUUCUUCCUUCGGGACACAGAGACAGGUGGUGCAUGGUUGUCGUCAGCUCGUGUCGUGAGAUGUUGGGUUAAGUCCCGCAACGAGCGCAACCCUUAUGGUCAGUUACUACGCAAGAGGACUCUGGCCAGACUGCCGUUGACAAAACGGAGGAAGGUGGGGAUGACGUCAAAUCAUCAUGCCCUUUAUGACUUGGGCUACACACGUACUACAAUGGCGUUAAACAAAGAGAAGCAAGACCGCGAGGUGGAGCAAAACUCAGAAACAACGUCCCAGUUCGGACUGCAGGCUGCAACUCGCCUGCACGAAGUCGGAAUUGCUAGUAAUCGUGGAUCAGCAUGCCACGGUAAAUACGUUCCCGGGCCUUGUACACACCGCCCGUCACACCAUGAGAGCCGGGGGGACCCGAAGUCGGUAGUCUAACCGCAAGGAGGACGCCGCCGAAGGUAAAACUGGUGAUUGGGGUGAAGUCGUAACAAGGUAGCCGUAGGAGAACCUGCGGCUG
RNAcentral lists this ribosomal RNA (1218 nucleotides) under metagenome. RNAcentral's name for it is "bacterial SSU rRNA". It matches the Rfam family "Bacterial small subunit ribosomal RNA", at positions 277 to 1520 of the family's 1533-position model. The record is from RNAcentral.